Nylanderia fulva is the source of this 921-nucleotide long non-coding RNA. RefSeq lists it as uncharacterized. NCBI's taxonomy places the organism in Eukaryota, Metazoa, Arthropoda, Insecta, Hymenoptera, Formicidae. The record is from RefSeq and is a predicted model, not a curated record.
GCGUGUCGCGUCGCGUACUACGUCGUAGUAAAACGGGAAUGGCUUCGAGGAGCCAGAUCGGCGAAAACAAAAGGGCCGAUUGAUAGCCCGGCCGUGGCGCGGGGUAACGGAGCCGGGUGUACGGUUUGCACCUGUCGACAGGUGGUUAACGAACAGAUGCUCCGCGUACGCUCCGAUCGUAAAUGCACGAAUGAUUCUUGCCUCGUCGAGAGCAACCGGUCCUUCGCGUUACGUGAAAAACAGACUCGAUUAUUUUCCACCUCGCUCCUCUGUCGCGGAUGUUUUUUUUUUUUUUUAGCUAAUUGGGUACCAGCAGCUUGGAGCAAUUGGUAUCGCGCGAUUUUUGCGCACCGAUCUAUCUAUUUAUAUGUUUUUUUUUAUCUUGCACAUAUGAGGAUAAAAAAUAAUAAUAAUAGAGACGAAUGACUUCAAAUGAGAUGCAAAUGGAAUGUAAUGAUGUAAGCAAAGUGGUCUUGGAGUUUUCUCCGACCAGAGGUCACGAUAGGCGCACAUCGCCUUUACACUCACAAAGCUUUUAAAGCUACCAAACCUUUGAAAAUUCUUCUUUUCUUUCUCCAAACUACGAAUAGUAUGUUUACGUAGGCUAGAAAUCACAAAUUCAUCACACAACAGCGAUAUAUACCAACGCGGAUCCCCACAAUUCAAACAGAGAAUUUUCCUUCCCCCAUAUGGGUUGGUUGUGGUGAAAAAACAUCCGCUGGUGAUGGAAAAGCAGAAACAGCUCGACAUCUCCGAGUUAUUCGCUGACAAAGUGAUGAUUGUUCCAAAACAAGUAAACGUUACCACGCACAAAUGGUUCAUAUCAGAUUAUUCAGCAAAGAAAUACAAUAGCUGGGCAUUAAGAAUUUAAAUGCCGAUUGUAGUUGUAAUGUCAAGUCGUAAAUAUAAUAAAGUAAUACA